This 433-nucleotide ribosomal RNA is filed under the name uncultured bacterium. RNAcentral describes it as "partial 16S ribosomal RNA". It matches the Rfam family "Bacterial small subunit ribosomal RNA", at positions 29 to 507 of the family's 1533-position model. The record is from RNAcentral.
AACGAACGCUGGCGGCAUGCCUAACACAUGCAAGUCGAACGAGACCUUCGGGUCUAGUGGCGCACGGGUGCGUAACGCGUGGGAACCUGCCUUUAGGUUCGGAAUAACUCCCCGAAAGGGGUGCUAAUACCGGAUAAUGUUUUCGGACCAAAGAUUUAUCGCCUUUGGAUGGGCCCGCGUUGGAUUAGCUAGUUGGUAGGGUAAAAGCCUACCAAGGCGACGAUCCAUAGCUGGUCUGAGAGGAUGAUCAGCCACACUGGGACUGAGACACGGCCCAGACUCCUACGGGAGGCAGCAGUGGGGAAUAAUGGACAAUGGGCGAAAGCCUGAUCCAGCAAUGCCGCGUGAGUGAUGAAGGCCUUAGGGUUGUAAAGCUCUUUUACCCGGGAUGAUAAUGACAGUACCGGGAGAAUAAGCUCCGGCUAACUCCGUG